UACGUAGGGGGCUAGCGUUGUCCGGAUUUAUUGGGCGUAAAGAGCGUGUAGGCGGCCAGGUAGGUCUGCUGUGAAAACUCGAGGCUCAACCUCGAGACGUCGGCGGAAACCAUCUGGCUAGAGUCCGGAAGAGGAGAGUGGAAUUCCUGGUGUAGCGGUGGAAUGCGCAGAUAUCAGGAAGAACACCAACGGCGAAGGCAGCUCGCUGGGACGGUACUGACGCUGAGACGCGAAAGCGUGGGGAGCGAACAGG
RNAcentral lists this ribosomal RNA (253 nucleotides) under uncultured bacterium. RNAcentral describes it as "partial 16S ribosomal RNA". It matches the Rfam family "Bacterial small subunit ribosomal RNA", at positions 524 to 776 of the family's 1533-position model. The record is from RNAcentral.